This 253-nucleotide ribosomal RNA is filed under the name uncultured bacterium. Its description in RNAcentral is "partial 16S ribosomal RNA". It matches the Rfam family "Bacterial small subunit ribosomal RNA", at positions 524 to 776 of the family's 1533-position model. The record is from RNAcentral.
UACGUAGGGGGCAAGCGUUGUCCGGAUUUAUUGGGCGUAAAGAGCGUGUAGGCGGCCUGGUAGGUCAGUUGUGAAAACUCGAGGCUCAACCUCGAGACGUCGGCGGAAACCAUCUGGCUAGAGUCCGGAAGAGGAGAGUGGAAUUCCUGGUGUAGCGGUGAAAUGCGCAGAUAUCAGGAAGAACACCCGUGGCGAAGGCGGCUCUCUGGGACGGUACUGACGCUGAGACGCGAAAGCGUGGGGAGCGAACAGG